CGAUGUCUGAUUUUUUGAAGAUUCUCAUGUGCAACAACUCUUCUGGACACUUGACAUUUGACACUCAUGUCAUGUCUCCAUGUAAUAUCUAAACUGUAACCACACAUAAGAAAGUGAAUAAUCAUGUACACAGAUUCUAACACCUUUCCUGAAUUAAGGAGGCUCAACUAGUUAAACUCCUAAAGAAAACACAAUAGAAGAUCAACUUGCUAAAUUAUUUAGCACAAACAAAGAAAUGUCCAUUUCAUGUUAAGGAUUAAAAAUUUAAUGUCUCGAUAUCUUUAAUACAUUUUCAUGAAGCUGGAUUAAGAAAAGAAGACAAAUCAGGCAAGGGAGCAGGAAGGAGAUCCAAACAAGCCUUAAGAAGUAUUCAGAUGCGAGAAAUUCUCUAUUUGAUAUACAUAUGGAAUGCUUAUACAGUUGACAUUUAAGAAAAUGUUUAAAAUCUUGAAAUGGAGAAAUUUAACAAGGAGCAUACUUCACUCAUAAUAACAGAGGCUCUUUGACAAAUUUCCAUGGAGAAAACUGGGAAAUGCCUAGGAAUGGAGCAGUGUAAUCGGAGUAAGAAGAAUUUCCAUGAACAAUGCAGCCACCUUACUAAAAGGUUCCUAAACAUAAGGUUAAGAUAAAACAUACUUGUUGAUGACCAUCUCAGACCACACAAUGGGCUCGUUUGGUUCGCAGGAAAAAGAGGGGGGAAAGUGUGAUCAACGGGAAAGUAAUGAAAUGCCUCUUGUUUGGUUGGAGUUUUCAAAAG
RNAcentral lists this long non-coding RNA (757 nucleotides) under Phoenix dactylifera (date palm). Its description in RNAcentral is "long non-coding RNA (PDAC_LNC001269)". The record is from RNAcentral. Lineage: Eukaryota; Viridiplantae; Streptophyta; Magnoliopsida; Arecales; Arecaceae.